GUCUCUGCCUUCAGACAACAGCAACCUGACCAAGACAGAAGUUUCUUCUUGACAGAGAUUCAACCGCCACAUGUCUCACUAUGCUCUUCGGGGGCGGAUCAUGGCAUACUGCAACAGCCUGAGAGCCCUGCUGGACGAUUUCCCUACCAUCAGAGAUACCUUUUUCGUGCUGGGACAACCACAAGAAGAGAAGGGGUCGAGGGACUCCAAGGAGGGCCUCAAGCCUGACCCCAGUUUUCCAGAUGUUCGUAAUUCAGCCUACCUAGAGUUCACUCACUUGGAUGGAGGAGUUGGCAUACCAGUGCUGUAA
Molecule: long non-coding RNA, 310 nt
Filed under: Delphinapterus leucas (beluga whale)
Lineage: Eukaryota; Metazoa; Chordata; Mammalia; Artiodactyla; Monodontidae
Description: lncRNA (ENSDLEG00000018075.1)
Source: RNAcentral